This 5003-nucleotide long non-coding RNA is filed under the name Marmota monax (woodchuck). The stretch from base 1064 to 1128 matches the Rfam family "tRNA". Lineage: Eukaryota; Metazoa; Chordata; Mammalia; Rodentia; Sciuridae. The record is from RNAcentral.
CUUCAAUUUAAAAGAGAAAUAAGUUUAUCAAUACUUGAUGUAUAUAAUGUAUUUAUUAUAUUUUAUAUUCAUAAUUACAGCUCUAACCCAAAAGUCAAGUUCUUAAGAGAUGUUUAUUAGAGUGUUCCCUUUCUAGCUACCAUUCACCUAGGAAGCACUGAGAAAAGGUGGCACUUGCUCCACUCCAGCUUAGUCCAUCCAUUCUGGGUGCAGAGCCCAGCACUGUUGUGUUGUAGAUUCACAGCUGACUGUGAGUGGCUGCCUGGGAUCCACUGGUGAAAUCUGAACUCCCUGUGCAGAAUGUGUCCCCAUUAUAUUUGUGCCCAGUGCCUAGCAUAGGCCUGGUCCAGACGGGAUGCUUUGGGAAUUGAAUUCUUAAGUUUGUAUUCUGAUCAUAUAAUUCUGAAAUAUAUAAUUUUAAUAAAGAGUUCUGUUAAUGUGACAACUUCAGUCUUUUCUGUGAAGGGCCGAGAUGGACGGAAAAAUGUGGUACCUUGUGUCCUGUCUGUAAGUGGGGAUCUGGACCGAGGCGUGCUAGCCUACCUCUAUGAUUCUCUCCAGCUCACCGAGAACUCCUUUGCAAGGAAGAAAAUCCUUCAUAGAAAGGUGCUUUUGAUAUUUCAGAGAUGGACUUGGGAAACUAAACUUAGGGAACUUUUUCCUUUUUUUAUGUUAAUUGUGCCCUUUUUCUCCCUCUUGCUUGUGACUUUUAAUUGCCUUAGGUCCUGAAGCUCCACCCUUGCUUAGUCCCUGUAAAGGUGGCCUUGGAUGUGGGAAGAGGCCCUACGGUGGAGCUAAGACAAGUGAGUUCACCUGCAAGCUGUGAUUUUAAUUAUGACUCUUACUCCAAGUGAACUUGGUAGCUUGCCACUUGAAAUUUUAUUUUUAUUUGCUUACUUUUGAAAUGUUUUAAUUAAAUAUUGAACUGUGGAUAAAUACUGUGGUUAAUUACAGACGGAUGAACUAUGGUAUAAAGGAGGCUGAAUACAAUUCAGUGGAUUUUGCUGUUGAAGUCAUGCCCACUCAGUUUCAUAUUUUAAUGAUUUUAUAUAGUUUUAGGGCUUGUGAUGUAGCUCAGUGGUUGAGAGCUUGUCUGCAACGCCCUGGAUUCAAUCCCCAGCAUCACCAAAAAAAAAACCCACAAACAAUUUUAGCAAUUAAAAUAUGUAUACAGAUGUCUAAUGGAUUAUUUCUUUCCAUUUUAACUUAAUGCUUGUUGAUAUAAGCAGAGGUUCUAGAUCAGUGAUUUUGGUUUUUCUUACCUGUCUUGGUCUAAUGAUUAAAUAUUAUUGAGAAAAACCAGUGGCUUGGUUUUCAUUUUUUUCCGGAGAUUCCUUUUUUCAUUUUUUUUUGGAGAUUCCUUUUUUAGCUGUCAUCAUUUCUGUCCAGGACUGAGACCCACCCGGCCUCUCUGGUGAGGUCUGUAAAGUGGCAGUAGUGAGCCAGCAGAGAGGACUGUGGCUUGUGCUGCACACCCUUGCAGCUUGCAAGUUCCUAGGGUUUGAGAAACUGCUCUCAGGGACACCAUUUGGUCAUAUCUGGAGGCAUUUUUGAUAGUCACAGGAGGGGAAGUGGGGUAUGGCCAAAGCCCCUGUGUCUGAAGUGCCCAGGGGACAAAGCCAAUGCUGGCCAUUAUAAAUUUUCCUUUGUUUUGCUUUGCUUUCCUGCUCAUAGAGAAGAAGUAAGGUCCACUGUGUCAUUUAAUAGUCAUUACUUUUCCAUUUGCAGUCAGACUUUGUCCAUUCUCUCGGGACAUUUCUGUGAUUGGCUUCUGGAAUUCCAUGCUACAAGUUUUUCUCACAUUUUAUCCUCCUGGCUCUUCUCUCUCUUUGAUAAUGGUAGCAUAAUCCUAGGGCUCAAUUUUCACCUCUCACAUGAGUUGAGAGUUAACAUUGCUCUUUGGACCUGUUUUUUAUCUGACAGAACCAGUUUUAGUUUAAUUGGGUUUGUUUUGAAUGAUAAUGGUGAUUAAAAAUCAUUUGAUAUAAAAAUAUCUCUCAGAAGAUAUUUUAUCUUCUGACUCCAGACUUUUUAUAUCCCCCUACCCACACCCCACAAGGCUUAUCCAAAGGUGGAAAGUUCUCUAGAGGUAAGAUGAACGCUUCUCGCAUCCUCAAAUCAACUCUAAAUAUAUCUAUAAAAAUUUUUUAAAAAUUAAUAUGGGAUAUUAAUGCCUCAUUAUUUAUUUAUUUUUGCAGUACUAUGGAUUGAACUCAAGGCCUUGUAUAUGAUGGGCAAGUGCUCUACUCCUGAGCCACACACACCCCUACUCUUUUUAUUUCAUUUUAUUUUGAGUCAGUGUCUUGCUGAAUUGUCUAGAUUGUCCUCAGCUUGUCCAAGUAGCUGGAUUACAGGUGUGCACCACUUCACCUGGACUUAGAGAUUGAAGAAGGUGAUUUGUGGUUUCACAAAAAUAGGACACUGUUUUUCCUUCUUUCUAUUUGAGGUCUUUAUAUUUUUCUUCAGGUUUGUCAAGGGCUAUAUAAUGAAUUACUAGAAAGUGGAAUUUCUGUGUGGCCUGGAUACUUGGAAACCUUGCCAUCUUCAUUGGAACAGCUUUAUUCAAAGUAAGAGUGAGUUAUUUUCCUUGCAUAAGAAAUGUGUUUUUUUCAGUUAUUACAUGUGUCUUUAGUUAAUGACAAUUGAAAUAAAACUCGAAAUGUAUAUGUAAUUUAAAAUUAUUCCUAUUGUCCCUUUUAUAGAGCCAUGUGCCCUUUAAUAAACCUAUUAAGUCCCACAUUCUCAAUUCUGCAAAUAUUUCAACAAAAUUGACACAGGUGUACUAAAUUGGUUGGAAAUCAUAAUCUAGAAUUUACAUAUGUAUAUGUAAAUUAUAUAUUUUUUAAUAAUUUAAGUUGGGCACAAUACCUUUAUUUCAUGAAUUUAUUUUUAUGUGGUGCUGAGGAUCAAACCUAUUGUAAAUUAUAUAUGUAAAUUAUAUAUUUUUUAAUAAUUUUUUUAAGUUGGGCACAAUACCUUUAUUUCAUGAAUUUAUUUUUAUGUGGUGCUGAGGAUCAAACCUAUUGCCUUACACAUAUGAGACAAGCACUCUACCACUGAGCUACAACUCCAGCUCCUGGAAAUUAUAUUUUUUAAACACUAUAUUCAUUCAUCUAUUACUUUUCUCAAAAGACUAUGUAGACCUCUAAAAAAUAAUAGUUAUUUAAAAGUUGCCAUAUGUGGUGGUAUAUCUGUUACUCAAUUCAAGUUUCACCUCUGGGAUGAGGGGACAAAAUGGGUUAAUUGCUAUAGCAGGGAACAAAAGGUACAUUUGAGCGCAUGCUGUGUACAGUUCUAAAGCUUCAUGUCAUGAAGUAUGUGUACCUCAGUUUAUCCAUUAGAGAUGACAUUACAUACAUAAGGUGCAUUUGUUGAAUCAGAACUCAAGGAAUAUGAUGCCUUUCCUUGGCUCAUUCUGAGAUUAAGGGGAAGAGAAUUCUACCCAAGCAGAGAGAACUAGUCUUCUCAGGGAUUGGCACCUCUGCUCACCAGAUUGCUCAAGACUGAAACUGGUUACUGGUUGAUCACCCUUAACCUGAAAAUUCAGAAUCUGAAAUGCUCUGAAACCUGAAACUUUUUGAGUGCUGACGGUUCACAAGUGGAAAUUUCCACACCUGACCUCAUGUGACAGGUUGCGGUCAAAACCCAGGUGCACCAAAGAUGUCAGCCUGCCUCCUAAAUAGAUGUCAAAUUCACAUCUCUGUCUUUAUAGUUAAGGUCAUCCAAGUUAAGGUCACCAGUAUCUUUUGUGUAGUAUUGGAUUCAUCUCCUAAUUGAUCUCCCUUUAUCUAGUCUUGCUAGUUCUGCUAUUUUAUUAAUAAAAAUGAUUCAUUCUUCUUUCUUUUUGGGUGUAUUUUUAUUUACUUAUUUAUUUUUUACUAUUUGUGUUGAAUAUAUGUCUUUUGGAUAAAGUGAUCUGAAAGUUUGUAUUCUGAACUCCUUAAAACUUACCUUCUGGAUAAUGUCUGCAAAAAAUAGCUUUCUAUUUUUAGAAACAGCAACUAAUGGUUUUAUCAUAUAUCAAAUGAAGAGAUUGAACUUUCCAGUCCUCACAGGUUCUAAAACCUUACCUUUGAGUCAUGCGGAUGUAACAAGUAUUGUUAUUAUUUAUGCGGCUUUUGUCCCCCACAUAUUUUUAUCCAUAUAUUUAUUAUUAAAUACCACUGUGCCUUAUGCAUUUUGAUACUGAACAAGACAAAGUUCCCUGGUCUUGGUUUUUGUGAAGCUAGUAUCUAAAACAGAUAACAAAUAACUAAAUAGAUAAAAUAGUUUUAAUGGAAUCCUACAAAGGAAGUAAGCAUUUAAUGAGAUAGUGUGGCUUGCUGAGCAGAAAGGCCAGUGUAGAUAUAUUCAGUGAUUGCUGAACUACAAACUCUAUUAGCAUGCUAUAAGUUAUAAAAAAUGCGUGUAGUUGGUAUAAUUUGCUGUACACCUGAUCUUUACUAUAACAUUGUUUAUUAUACUAGACUUUAAAAUCAUUGUUCUUGAAUUACAGCCAAGUUCCAAAGGCUGUGGGAGUUAUGAGGUUCAUCCAUAUCACACCAAAUGUGUGUUGAGGUGCCAAUGUUUAUGUCUCUGGUUUUAGUUUCUCAAGAAUUCCUUAAUUACAAUCCAUUACAAACUCUAGGAAUUUUGCUUUGAAUAUGAUUCGGAAACAAAAAAAGUUGGGUUUGUCUGCUUCAGCUAUCAGGCCCUGACCUUGAGUUGGAAGUGGCAGGGCUGUGGUUGAAGCUGGCACUGUGGGUUUGUGUAUUUGAGUUCAUGUGUUUUGUUGAACUUCUCUUUUCUUAGGUAUGAUGAAAUGAGUAUCCUUUUCACAGUUUUGAUUACUGAAACUACUUUGGAGAAUGGAUUAAUACAUCUGAGAAAUAGAGAUACCACAAUGAAGGAAAUGAUGCAUAUAUCCAAAUUAAAAGACUUUUUAAUCAAGUAUAUGUCAUCAGCUAAGAAUGUAUAGGUUUUCACAUUUGUAUAAUAAAUACUCUCCUAAUUUGGUUGUUUUA